GCAAAUACAAUGAGGCCCCGUUUGGAUACCCAUGAAAACGUAGUAGAGUUAAACUAUAUACUACACCGGUAGGAAAAUUAUCCUAUGAAGUAUUUGAGAGAAAAAAAAAGUUACGUAAUUUUUGGAGUAUAAUUAAACUAUACUCCAAAAAAUGGAGUAAAAUUAUAAUCCACUAUAAUCAAAGGAAAAGAAUUUCGCCAUUCUUAGGCUUCCUUAUUCCAAAGAUGCAUCAAAUUCUAACUUUUAAAUUUCAAUAUAAAAUUUUAAAUUUCGACAUAAAUUUUAAAUUUUAAAUUUUAUAACUUAAUUAAUAUUGAAAUUAUUAAUUUCAAAUUUUAAAAUUUGAAUUUUAAAUUUUAAAUAUCAAAAAUUUAAAUUUUAUAAUUUCAAAAUUUAAAUGUCAAAUUUAAAAUUUAAAAUGUUCUAAUUUUAUAAAUUCAAAUUUUAAUUUUCAAAUAUCAAAUUUUAAAUUUAGUUUUCAAAUAAUAAAUUUCAAAUUUUAAAUUUUCUAAUUUAUAAUUUCAAAUUUUAAUUCUCUAUUUUCAAUAUUCAAAUUUAACUUUUAAAUUUCAAAUUUCAAAUAUUAGUUUUCAAAAUUCAAAAUUCAAAAUUUUAAACUACAAAUUUUAAAUUUUAAAUAUCAAAAUUGAAAUUUUAAAAUUUAAAAUUUAAAAUUUAAAUUUCAAAUUUUAAAUUUCAAAUUUCACACUUUAAAUUUUAACUUUUAAAUUUUAAAUUUUAAUUUUUAAAUUUCUGAUUUCAAAUUUCAAAUUUCAAAUCUCAAAUCUCAUAAUUGAAAUUUCAAAUUUUAAACUGUAAAUUUUAAAUUUAUUUUUUAAAUUUUAAAUUUUAAAUUUUUUAUUCUAAAUUUUAAAUUUUAAAUUUUUUAUUUUAAAAUAUUAAAUUUCAAAAUUUAAAAAUUAAAUUUAGAUUUUUAUAUUUUUAAUUUUUAAAUUUCAAAUUUUUAAAAUUGAAAAUUUAAAUUUAAAAUUUAAAAUUUAAAAUUUCACAUUUAAAAUUUUAAAGUUUAAAUUUUUAUAGAAAUUUUAAAAUUUAAAUUUUAACUUUUAAUUUUAAAAUUUAGAGAAAUCCAGUAAAAUUGUAUAAUGCGCAUCCAAACAGUUAAAAAAUUGAAUCCGUAGAACUUUUUAGAUUUGGAGGAUUCCCUAUUUCAUCUAAACCAAAACCACAGUUUAUAAAUUUCGUGGAGAUUUUUUACUGUGCAUCCAAACAGCCCCUAAAAGUCAACAUCCAAGGAUUCUUAAUUUGCGACUUCUAAAAAUAAAUCUACAUUUUCUUCCUGAAAAAUAAUGCCGAAACAUUUAUUUAAUUUUUCAUCUAGAAAUCAAAUUGUCCUCUCUGGAACAAUAAAUUUUAAAUUCGUCAUUGCUAUACCCCCAAGAUUAAGACCUCAGAAAUAAGACCACAACAUUCAUCAAGUUGCAAAGAGCUUGGUGGUUGAUACUUGAUAUCCCAAAUUCGAGUCCUAAUUACUUUAUAUUUUCAACUAAGUUUGUUUCUAAAAAAAUGAACGAAGUGGUGAACAUACUACCUUUCUACCUCUCUCAAAAAAAAAAAACACAGCUGCAGAUGCGGGCUCCAACAACUCGCCGACGCUGCCGGGGCUGCCGGUGACGUUCGCAGCGGCUGAGUCGGAGACGUCGAGGAGGGUGGGCACGGCGUCGACGGUGACGAGCAUGCAUAGCAUGCAGGCGUUGUUGUUGUUGUUGUUGUAUUGGUCGGCGGCUGUGGCGGAGGAGGAGCAGAGGGAUUUGAUAAGGGCGGUGGGGACACUCAGGGAGGAGAAGGAGAAGAAAGAAGGAGGAAGAAGAGGAAGAAAAAAAAAGUGUAAAUUGGAGAAAACAGAAGAAAAAAGAAAUGGCGUAAAUUUCACCUAAAUAGUGCAAUUUCAUUCUAAAGAGUGUAAAUCUGAUUUUAAAGAGUGUAAUUUCUGUCUCAAAGAGUGCAACGUUUAUUUAAAAUAGUGCAAUUUUUUUUAAAAAAUAGUAUAACAUUAUUUUAACAGUGCAUUUUUAUUAUCUUCUUUUUUCUUAUAUAAUUUUUGAUCUUUUAUGGAGGAAAUUUUUUUAUUUUUUUUAUAAUUUUUUGUAGUCACGAUCUCU
RNAcentral lists this long non-coding RNA (2123 nucleotides) under Ananas comosus (pineapple). RNAcentral describes it as "long non-coding RNA (ACOM_LNC031500)". Lineage: Eukaryota; Viridiplantae; Streptophyta; Magnoliopsida; Poales; Bromeliaceae. The record is from RNAcentral.